RNAcentral lists this ribosomal RNA (454 nucleotides) under uncultured bacterium. RNAcentral's name for it is "partial 16S ribosomal RNA". It matches the Rfam family "Bacterial small subunit ribosomal RNA", at positions 28 to 507 of the family's 1533-position model. The record is from RNAcentral.
GAUGAACGCUGCCGGCAUGCUUAACACAUGCAAGUCUACUUGAACUUCGGUUUGGGCGGCGGACGGGUGAGUAACGCGUACAGAACUUGCCUCACAGUUAGGGACAACAUUUGGAAACGAAUGCUAAUACCUGAUAUUAUGAUUUUAGGGCAUCCUCAAAUUAUGAAAGCUAUAUGCGCUGUGAGAGAGCUUUGCGUCCCAUUAGCUAGUUGGAGAGGUAACGGCUCACCAAGGCGAUGAUGGGUAGCCGGCCUGAGAGGGUGAACGGCCACAAGGGGACUGAGACACGGCCCUUACUCAUACGGGAGGCAGCAGUGGAGAAUAGUUGACAAUGGACCAAAUGUCUGAUCCAGCAAUUCUGUGUGCACGAUGACGUUUUUCGGAAUGUAAAGUGCUUUCAGUUGGGAAGAAAAAAAUGACGGUACCAACAGAAGAAGUGACGGCUAAAUACGUG